CACUCCUGCGGGAGGCAGCAGUGGGGAAUAUUGGACAAUGGGCGCAAGCCUGAUCCAGCCAUGCCGCGUGAGUGAUGAAGGCCCUAGGGUUGUAAAGCUCUUUCACCGGUGAAGAUAAUGACGGUAACCGGAGAAGAAGCACCGGCUAACUUCGUGCCAGCAGCCGCGGUAAUACGAAGGGGGCUAGCGUUGUUCGGAUUUACUGGGCGUAAAGCGCACGUAGGCGGACUAUUAAGUCAGGGGUGAAAUCCCGGGGCUCAACCCCGGAACUGCCUUUGAUACUGGUAGUCUUGAGUUCGAGAGAGGUGAGUGGAAUUCCGAGUGUAGAGGUGAAAUUCGUAGAUAUUCGGAGGAACACCAGUGGCGAAGGCGGCUCACUGGGUCGAUACUGACGCUGAGGUGCGAAAGCGUGGGGAGCAAACAGGAUUAGAAACCCGUGUAGUCCC
RNAcentral lists this ribosomal RNA (446 nucleotides) under uncultured organism. RNAcentral describes it as "partial 16S ribosomal RNA". It matches the Rfam family "Bacterial small subunit ribosomal RNA", at positions 334 to 797 of the family's 1533-position model. The record is from RNAcentral.